This 468-nucleotide ribosomal RNA is filed under the name uncultured bacterium. RNAcentral describes it as "partial 16S ribosomal RNA". It matches the Rfam family "Bacterial small subunit ribosomal RNA", at positions 28 to 507 of the family's 1533-position model. The record is from RNAcentral.
GACGAACGCUGGCGGCGUGCUUAACACAUGCAAGUCGAACGGAAAGGGCCUGCUUUUGUGGGGUGCUCGAGUGGCGAACGGGUGAGUAACACGUGAGUAACCUGCCCUUGACUUUGGGAUAACUUCAGGAAACUGGGGCUAAUACCGGAUAGGAGCUCCUGCUGCAUGGGGGGGGGUGGAAAGUUUCGGCGGGUGGGGAUGGACUCGCGGCUUAUCAGCUUGUUGGUGGGGUAGUGGCUUACCAAGGCUUUGACGGGUAGCCGGCCUGAGAGGGUGACCGGCCACAUUGGGACUGAGAUACGGCCCAGACUCCUACGGGAGGCAGCAGUGGGGAAUAUUGCACAAUGGGCGGAAGCCUGAUGCAGCAACGCCGCGUGCGGGAUGACGGCCUUCGGGUUGUAAACCGCUUUCGCCUGUGACGAAGCGUGAGUGACGGUAAUGGGUAAAGAAGCACCGGCUAACUACGUG